AUUGAACGCUGGCGGCAGGCUUAACACAUGCAAGUCGAGCGAGAGGCGGGCGGGUGAGUACUGUCUAGGAAACUGCCUGAUGGAGGGGAGUAACUACUGGAAACGGUAGCUAAUACCGCUUACCCUCAGGUGUGCCCAGAUGGGAUUAGCUAGUAGGUGGGGUAAAGGCUCACUUAGGCGACGAUCCCUAGCUGGUCUGAGAGGAUGACCAGCCAUACGGGAACUGAGACACGGUCCAGACUCCUACGGGAGGCAGCAGUGGGGAAUAGUGCACAAGUGGCGCAAGCCUGAUGCAGCCAUGCCGAGUGGGUGAAGAAGGCCUUCGGGUUGUAAAGCACGUUCAGCGAGGAGGCGUUACUCGCAGAAGAAGCACGGGCUAACUCCGUGCCAGCAGCCGCGGUAAUAC
RNAcentral lists this ribosomal RNA (406 nucleotides) under uncultured bacterium. RNAcentral's name for it is "partial 16S ribosomal RNA". It matches the Rfam family "Bacterial small subunit ribosomal RNA", at positions 30 to 526 of the family's 1533-position model. The record is from RNAcentral.